This 86-nucleotide transfer RNA is filed under the name Dilophotes sp. U LB-2014. RNAcentral describes it as "tRNA-Glu". Lineage: Eukaryota; Metazoa; Arthropoda; Insecta; Coleoptera; Lycidae. The record is from RNAcentral.
GCCCAAAUUGGGCGAGAAAUAUGCAAUUUAUAUAGUUUAAGCAAAACAUUACAUUUUCAUUGUAAAAUUAAAUUUAUUUUUUAUAA